This 374-nucleotide ribosomal RNA is filed under the name uncultured eukaryote. RNAcentral describes it as "partial 18S ribosomal RNA". It matches the Rfam family "Eukaryotic small subunit ribosomal RNA", at positions 592 to 976 of the family's 1831-position model. The record is from RNAcentral.
CAAGAGCGUAUGUAAAAGUUGUUGCAGUUAAAAAGCUCGUAGUUGAACCUUGGGUUUGGUUGGCCGGUCCGCUUUUUUGCGAGUACUGGAUUCAACCGAGCCUUUCCUUCUGGCUAACCAGUCGUUUCGGCGGCUGGCGAACCAGGAUUUUUACUUUGAGAAAAUUAGAGUGUUCAAAGCAGGCAUUAGCUUGAAUAUAUUAGCAUGGAAUAAUAGAAUAGGACGUUAUGGUUCUAUUUUGUUGGUUUCUAGGACCAUCGUAAUGAUUAAUAGGGACGGUCGGGGGCAUCAGUAUUCAGUUGUCAGAGGUGAAAUUCUUGGAUUUACUGAAGACUAGCUACUGCGAAAGCAUUUGCCAAGGACGUUUUCAUUAA